Molecule: long non-coding RNA, 471 nt
Filed under: Pan troglodytes (chimpanzee)
Lineage: Eukaryota; Metazoa; Chordata; Mammalia; Primates; Hominidae
Description: lincRNA
Source: RNAcentral
AAGCAUGCAUAGGAGUUUCACAUGGCUAGAUGCAAUGAACCUGGAGAUUUUCCCAAGAAUGAGCCUUUCAAUCAUAGAGAGACUGAAAGACUGAGACUGCAUUUAUUUCAGAAAGUGAUUGGUGCAGAGGUAUGAUGACAUAUUUUCAGUGUGUCUAUCAAGAAGGUGGUGUUGAAAUAUCUGUGGCAAUAUUGGCAAGGAGUCAGUCUCUUGCUAUUUCACAAUGGCCUUAAUCCUAGUGAUGGCAAUUUCUUCUUGCAACAAAGAAAGACAGUGACACCAAAGGAGAAAUAUUCAAAGUGGGAUGAAAGGGGUUGACAUUAGAAAAGACUUCAUGGUGAUUGGGAAAAAAUGGAAAAAGAUUUUGAAAGCACUCCAUCACAGGGCACACUACAAUCACAAACUUCAUGCCUUACACAGUUUCCUUUCCUGUCAUACUAACUGUGCUUCUUCAACAUCUCCUGGGAACCA